Molecule: ribosomal RNA, 272 nt
Filed under: uncultured Ascomycota
Lineage: Eukaryota; Fungi; Ascomycota
Description: partial 18S ribosomal RNA
Rfam family: Eukaryotic small subunit ribosomal RNA
Source: RNAcentral
UUGGAGGGCAAGUCUGGUGCCAGCAGCCGCGGUAAUUCCAGCUCCAAUAGCGUAUAUUAAAGUUGUUGAGGUUAAAAAGCUCGUAGUUGAACCUUGGGCCUAGCCGGCCGGUCCGCCUCACCGCGUGCACUGGCUCGGCUGGGUCUUUCCUCCUGGAGAACCGCAUGCCCUUCACUGGGUGUGCCGGGGAACCAGGACUUUUACUCUGAACAAAUUAGAUCGCUUAAAGAAGGCCUAUGCUCGAAUACAUUAGCAUGGAAUAAUAGAAUAGG